UCCUGUCUGAGAUGGACCAUUUAACACAUUUGAUUUUUAUAAGUCUACUUGCCAAAACUGGACUGAGAGAUUUACUGUGAAAUCUGAUAAAGUUCUUCAUUUGGUUACCUCACAUCCAUACUCAGUCUUGAAAGAUAACGCUGUGUACACAUGAUAAGGAAUCUUUUCAUUAGUAUAAUUUUUUAUGUACAGAAACACUGGCCUAGAGAUUAGAGCAUAAAUUUUAAUCUCAGUUCUGCCAUUUACUGAUGUGAAGUGAAGUGAAAGUGAAGUCGCUCAGUCGUGUCCGACUCUUCGAAACCCCAUGGACUGCACCCUACCAGGCUCCUCUGUCCAUGGGAUUCUCCAGGCAAGAGUACUGGAGUGGGGUGCCAUCGCCUUCUCCGAGCAACAACCUAUGGGGCUGCAAAGAGUUAGACACGACUUAGUGACUGAGCACUCACGUAGGACUAGUUGGCAUAGAGCAGAGCAGGAGAAAAGAACAGGGAUCUAUCAUCGACUAACAGAAGAAGUGAGUACCAGGCCCAGAUCAUGAAGGAAAUAACCAAGGUAAUUAGAAGAUGAUAAAGUCAUGUAUCUCAGCAUUUCGGAAUUUCAAUUGAAAAUAUGAAGCAGAAGUUGAUUUUAUACAAAAAUAUCAAAGUCAGAAUGACCCUUGUGGCAAAUGAGAAUUAGUAAGUAAAGUGACAUGUGAAGCUUCCAGGAAAACACAUGCAGAAAUGUCCUAGUUACCAGAUGGGAUAAAAGCAAAAGAAAGCUGUGGAGUCUAAUAUGGAAAAAGCCUAUUUCCUGAAGGUAACAAUAUAUUAUUUACUAAUGGUUCCUUAGUAUGAACCAUUGAAAGCAUAUUUUUUUUUCUUCUUCCACAACGGUAAAGAUAAUUCCAUAUUAAACAUUACCUCUCAAAGGCAAGGUCUGUAUCUUUUUUAGAGGGGUGGAGAGCGGGGUGUGGGCCAGCGACACUGUGCAGCAUGCCAGAUCUUAGUUCCCUAAUCAGGGAUUGAAUCCAUGGUCCCUGCAGUGGAAGCCCAGAGUUUUAACCACAGGCCAGCC
This is a long non-coding RNA of Bos taurus (domestic cattle), 1053 nucleotides long. The record is from Ensembl. Lineage: Eukaryota; Metazoa; Chordata; Mammalia; Artiodactyla; Bovidae.